AGUGAACGCUGGCGGUAGGCCUAACACAUGCAAGUCGAACGGCAGCACAGUAAGAGCUUGCUCUUACGGGUGGCGAGUGGCGGAUGGGUGAGGAAUACAUCGGAAUCUACUUUUUCGUGGGGGAUAACGUAGGGAAACUUACGCUAAUACCGCAUACGGCCUACGGGUGAAAGCAGGGGAUCUUCGGACCUUGCGCGAUUGAAUGAGCCGAUGUCGGAUUAGCUAGUUGGCGGGGUAAAGGCCCACCAAGGCGACGAUCCGUAGCUGGUCUGAGAGGAUGAUCAGCCACACUGGAACUGAGACACGGUCCAGACUCCUACGGGAGGCAGCAGUGGGGAAUAUUGGACAAUGGGCGCAAGCCUGAUCCAGCCAUACCGCGUGGGUGAAGAAGGCCUUCGGGUUGUAAAGCCCUUUUGUUGGGAAAGAAAAGCAGCAGGUUAAUACCCCGCUGUUCUGACGGUACCCAAAGAAUAAGCACCGGCUAACUUCGUG
RNAcentral lists this ribosomal RNA (492 nucleotides) under uncultured bacterium. Its description in RNAcentral is "partial 16S ribosomal RNA". It matches the Rfam family "Bacterial small subunit ribosomal RNA", at positions 29 to 507 of the family's 1533-position model. The record is from RNAcentral.